RNAcentral lists this ribosomal RNA (253 nucleotides) under uncultured bacterium. RNAcentral's name for it is "partial 16S ribosomal RNA". It matches the Rfam family "Bacterial small subunit ribosomal RNA", at positions 524 to 776 of the family's 1533-position model. The record is from RNAcentral.
UACGUAGGGGGCGAGCGUUAUCCGGAGUUACUGGGCGGAAAGCGCACGCAGGCGGUCUGCUAAGUUUGGAGUGACAGUGCUCGGCUUAACUGAGCAAGUGCUUCGAAAACUGACAGACUUGAGGGCUUCAGAGGGACAUGGAAUUCCGGGUGUAGUGGUGAAAUGCGUAGAUAUCCGGAGGAACACCAAAGGCGAAGGCAGUGUCCUGGGAAGUACCUGACGCUCAGGUGCGAAAGCUAGGGGAGCGAACGGG